Xenia sp. Carnegie-2017 is the source of this 767-nucleotide RNA transcript. It is a transcript of the gene named growth arrest-specific protein 7-like, with no coding region annotated. The record is from RefSeq and is a predicted model, not a curated record. NCBI's taxonomy places the organism in Eukaryota, Metazoa, Cnidaria, Anthozoa, Malacalcyonacea, Xeniidae. The transcript is spliced from 7 exons.
CCUUUCCACUUUAGUCACUGUGUUAAUAUUAUUCGGUAUUUUCGUGUAAAAGCACGAACGUUUCGUGUAGUCCACGCAUAUUCAUUCAUUAAAAGAAUCACGUUAAAUCAGUAAGCACUUGAGUGUUUUAGAUAUUGCUCUUCGUGUAUAUGUCGAUAUUAUGGAAGUAACAAACGUUGCGCGAGCCUUGUACGCGUACGACAGUAAAAAUGGCAUGAAAUUCGACGCUGGAGAACUUCUGAACGUAUUUGAAAAAGGUGAAGAUGGUUGGUGGUUUGGAGAGGUUCAACAAACAAAUACAGAAGGAUGGUUUCCCGCAACUUAUGUCUCAACUUUGGAACAGAAAAUUGUACAUGACAACACUCUUCCACCCAAUUGGAAAGCAUUUCAAACUGAUCAGGAAAAACCUACUAUGUCAAUUCAGUCAACGGAGAAAGAACAUGGUUACUUCCAACUUCAAACAAUAAUGUUUCAACAACUGAGACAGCUCAUGCUGACAAGUCAAAAGCUCCCGAACGAAAUGAAAAACGUAGCUUAAAGAAGAAACCUAGCUUCAACAAAAGACCCAGUACUAUGUUGAAAGGUUUCAUGGCGUUUCUCGUGCAGACUCUAAACAUGGACAGACAUUGUUCAAUCCUGGACAAUAUAGUUACUGCGAUCAUUUCUGGGAUGAUAGGAAUGUUAAUAAGACUGGACUUGACAUUCUUGUUGAUCGUUAUACAUUAUGGUAGAGAUAUGUGUAAGGAAAUGGCUGAAUUUAUAAAAAA